AGAGUUUGAUCCUGGCUCAGGACGAACGCUUGCGGCGUGCCUAAGAAAUGCAAGUCGAGCGAACUUCAGCCUUCGGGCGAAGAGUUAGCGGCGAACGGUCGCGUAACACGUAAGCAACCUGCCCUAAAGUUUGGGAUAGCCCUCCGAAAGGAGGAUUAAUACCGGAUGUGGAUACUUCCUCGCAUGUGGAGGUGUCUAAAGCAGCAAUGCGCUUUAGGAUGGGCUUGCGGCCUAUCAGCUAGUUGGUGUGGGUAACGGCUCACCAAGGCGACGACGGGUAGCUGGUCUGAGAGGAUGGUCAGCCGGACUGGGACUGAGAUACGGCCCAGACUCCUACGGGGGGCAGCAAUUAGGAAUCUUGCGCAAUGGGCGAAAGCCUGACGCAGCGACGCCGCGUGACUGAUGAAGUCUUUCGGGAUGUAAAGGUCUUUUGCAGGGGACGAAGGAAGUGACGGUACCCUGCGAAUAAGCUCCGGCUAACUACGUGCCAGCAGCCGCGGUAAUACGUAGGGAGCGAGCGUUGUCCGAAUUUACUGGGCGUAAAGCGCGCGUAGGCGGGUUUUUAAGUUGGGGGUGAAAUGCCGAGGCUUAACCUCGGAACUGCCUCCAAAACUGGAAGCCUUGAGGUAUGGAGAGGGAAGUGGAAUUCCAGGUGUAGCGGUGAAAUGCGUAGAUAUCUGGAGGAACACCCGUGGCGAAGGCGGCUUCCUGGCCAUAUCCUGACGCUGAGGUGCGAAAGCUAGGGGAGCGAACGGGAUUAGAUACCCCGGUAGUCCUAGCCGUAAACGAUGGAUACUAG
This 799-nucleotide ribosomal RNA is filed under the name uncultured bacterium. RNAcentral describes it as "bacterial SSU rRNA". It matches the Rfam family "Bacterial small subunit ribosomal RNA", at positions 8 to 819 of the family's 1533-position model. The record is from RNAcentral.